GACGAACGCUGGCGGCGUGCUUAACACAUGCAAGUCGAACGGAAAGGCCCUGCUUUUGUGGGGUGCUCGAGUGGCGAACGGGUGUGUAACCCGUGAGUAACCUGCCCUUGACUUUGGGAUAACUUCAGGAAACUGGGGCUAAUACCGGCUAGGAGCUCCUGCUGCAUGGUGGGGGUUGGAACGUUUCGGCGGUUGGGGAUGGACUCACGGCUUGUCAGCUUGUGGGUGGGGUAAAGGCUUACCAAGGGGUCGAUGGGUCGCCGGCCUGAGAGGAUGAUCAGUGACCCUGGAACUGAGACAAGGUCCAGGCUCCUACGGGAGGCAGCAGUGGGGAAUAUUGGACAAUGGGCGAAAGCGUGAGCAAGCCAUGCCGCGUGUGUGAAGAAGGUCUUCGGAUUGUAAAGCACUUUAAGUUGGGAGGAAGGGCAGUAAGUUAAUACCUUGCUGUUUUGACGUUACCAACAGAAUAAGCACCGGCUAACUUCGUG
Molecule: ribosomal RNA, 488 nt
Filed under: uncultured bacterium
Lineage: Bacteria
Description: partial 16S ribosomal RNA
Rfam family: Bacterial small subunit ribosomal RNA
Source: RNAcentral